GCGAUGAUAGGCGCUGAUGAGACGAGAUUGAAGUGCAGCCAACACUGCAUGGUGCUUCUCACAAGAGCUGACCCAAUGCUGUUUUUCAACUCUUCUGGAAAAGAUCCCGAAAGAAGAUAACAGCUUGUUUUCUUCACCGCCACCAGUCUACCUGCUCUCUGCACACUCGGCAGAGCGCGGCAGGGCACCCCACGGAGCUGCACUAGUCACAUCCGGGCCCCACGCCGGUCGACGGCCGAUGCGAUGGAGGCACUACUCCGAGCUGGACUGGUGGCCGGCUCGGAGCUGGUGGAUGUCGACCGCGGAGCGGCGUUCUACUCCUUCCACCGGGCCCGGCAGCAGGAGCUCCAGAUGUCCUUGUGCCACCCGUCCGGCCAGGCCUCCAUCCACCUUGUAGAGGCGGAGCGGGAGACGGUGAAGCUCACGGCUCCGUUGGAACAUGGCCGCUGGGAGGCCUGCGGCGCGGACGACGGAUGCGGCAGUUGGUCAAGACACGGCAGCCUACUCGAGGUGCUUCUCGCCUGGAGGACGCAGGCGAAUCGCGUUAUCCGAGCUGUGCCUCGUCAUGGUGCGAUGAGCCUUAAUAGACUAAUGCAUAUUCUUCCUUUGGCUGUAAUUCAUUUGCUGCUGCCCGCUGGGCUAAGG
Molecule: long non-coding RNA, 645 nt
Filed under: Amphibalanus amphitrite
Lineage: Eukaryota; Metazoa; Arthropoda; Thecostraca; Balanomorpha; Balanidae
Description: uncharacterized LOC122376109, transcript variant X1
Source: RNAcentral